GUCAGCUCCAACCACCUGCCAUUUCUGCAGCACCUGAGCUCCCAGUUCGGUAGCCCCCGAUCUAAAUGAAUCCAUCACUGUUUCCGAAAGGCUGGAACACCAGGCUGCUGGGCAACCUUGAACCAGGUUUAUCCAGGAGGGCAGAGACCGAGGGACCUGCCUGGGAACAACAACAACAACAACAACAAAAAAUUGGAGUGAUUCAGAGAAAGCAAUCUGUUACCUGGAAGAAUUUAAGGGUUUAAAAAAAAAUGAUCUUUGAUCAAAGUUUUAUGGAGUCGGAUGCAAAUGGUGACUCAGUGAUCCCCUGUAGAGAGCAUGUAAACAAGAAAUAGCAUCAGGACCCAGUGGGAUGCUACAGCAUUGAACCGUCAGCUAUAGCAUCUUUUAACCUAGCAAUUGGAUUUCACCACACAAGCUUUCCCCCAGUGAUUCCAGAAAAGGACGCGGAGGGAUCACUUUCAGAAAGAAAGAUACCUGAAGCAGAACUUGGACGGGCGCUUUGUGGAGAAAACACGACUCUUCAGAAAGAAACAUACAACUCUUGGAGCAGAUUUGGAUCUUGCUGACAUCACAGAUGUUUGGAAAGCCAUGGAUUUUACAUCCUGAGUCUGGGCCAGGAACUAGAGAAAUGGAUACACCAGUGAAAAAAUAAACGUGAUGAUGGACCCCCAAGGCUGCCCGCCUUUAGAGGAGGUGAUGAGAGAAACUUCCAAACACUCUACAAAUCAAGCCAAGCUGUCCAAAUACCUGGGGCUAGGAUGUUAGCCAGUAUUCAGAACAUGUGAACCAAACUGAAAACACUUUUUAGCUUCUCUCUCUCUCUCUCUCUCUCUCUCUCUCUCUCUCUCUCUCUCUCUCUCUCUGGAAACAUACAACACUUAUGUGAAAUGUAGUUUUUCAUGCUGGAUUUGAUUGGUUUUAAUGAUGGGUGUCUUAGAGCGAGUCCAAGUUUAUUCUCAAGGACCUCAGUCUCCCAGCCCACAAUUAGGACUAAAUACAGCGCCUUGGCAAGAUUCUUUUUCUAAGGCUUAGCUUCGCUUUGACUCUCCCGGGUUUGGCAGCGGUAAGCCCACAAGUAUCUGAGCUGGAAUUUCCUCACGACUUACCCACCGCCCCCAGGACUAAGCAAGCACUUUGCAAAAGGACCAUUCGCUCUUUUGAAUCGAGCUCCCCUGUAUUUCAGGGUACCCAGGUGGCUUCUAAGUGUUUGAUGCAACAUCCUUAAAACCGUUCCCCGCUUCCGAGGAUUAACUAAGGCACUUGGAAGGUCGGCGCUGCUCACCGUUUUAACGUUUGAUUUAUCUUUUCCAUAAGAUUUCAGUCUGACCACCCACGAUCCCCGUUUUAUAAGACUGUCCCCUCCCAUCCAAAAAAAAAAGAAGAAAACUUGUUCUAACAUCUUUGAAAUGAACAAAAUAAAAGGGUUUAAAUGGCUGAUUUGAAAUUAUCACUAAGCAAUGAAAAAUGUAUUUAUUGUAUGAGAGCUAAAAGUUCUGCUUUCUAUAUCCUUGCAUUUUAUUUAUAUCUAUAAAAAGUUUUGCUGGGUUUGAUGGCAUGGGUCUUUAAUGUUGGCACUUGAGCAACUGAGGCUGGAACAACUUGAGUUUGAGGUCAUCCUGGGAUACAUAGCUAGACCCUGUCCAAAGGAAGGGGAAAAAAAAAUAAAAGAGGAAAAAGAAACAACGCAACAGUUCCAAAACAGAAUCACCUCCAAUCCCAAAGCCACCUCCAGGCUCCAAGUCCCAAAGCCUUCUGUUAAUUAACUUUUUAAACGUUAGCAUACAAAGUAACUGGCUCCACCAUGGCAUUACUGUGCAUACUUUGAUUGCCCAUUGAUCCUCCUUCCCCUCCAAUCCCUCUGCUCAUCCCCCUCUUCCCCCACUCCCCAACAGCCUCCCAUUUUUCUUGUCCCGUGUUUUCUAGCAGCCUCUUGAUUUUCAUCCCCACCUUAAGAUUUCCUUUACUCUCCCAUGUUUUGCAUGACCUAUCCCCUACCACGCAUCUGUGAACACACAGAAGACCUGAAACUGAAACUGCCCAGAAGGUGGCUGGGCCUGGCGGCACACGCCUAUAAUCCCAGCACUCCAGAGGCAGAGGCAGAGGCAGGCGGAUCACUGUGAGUUUGUGGCUAGCCUGAUCUACAAAAUGAGUUGGCAACCAAAGAGACAUGAUGAGACUCUGUCUCAAACAAAAUGUCUAUCCAAAACCAAACAGAAACAAACAAAACAGAAAGGAAAAGAGUCAACCUAUAGGGAUGCGCUUCAAGGCAUUGGCCUGGGCAGAAAUUUUCUGUAAAAAGAUUCCCGUGACAUAGGAAAUAACCCCAAGAAUGAAAAAAAAUUGAAUUAUAUGAAAGCAAAAAGCUGCUGUAUAGCAAAGAAACCCAUCAGCUGAGUGAGGGAAGCCUACGGGAUGGAAGGAAACCUUGGCAAAGGAUUCCAAAUGGACCACAGAGCAUCCUACAUUUUAUUCCUGAAUUGGGCACAGCCAAAAUCAUGGCUUUGAAGUGCUCAGCAAUGCACAGCAGUCCUUUGGCAGGUGAUGCGUGAGAAUGUGCCUAAGACUCUCUCUAAAUCUAUAUUUGCUUUAAGUGGUCUUGAAUCCAAGAAUGUUUGUGCCUUUAAGUAGGGGAACAAAAAUGAAUAUUCUAAAAUACAGCACUCCUUUGGUAUAUAAACAUGGCCACACGUUCUAGGAAACUUAGGGGUCUGAAUAAGCAAAACAAAUAAUCUAGCAUUUAGAAACAAAGAUGGCCACCCCAUUUUAUCCCACAUUCUUUGUCUUAUCAAUUAUGAUGGCUGCAUGGUAUAAGAAUUGAGUUAUUACGGUCUUGUAGUGAGUCGCUUAAAUUCUUAUAUACAGUUUGGAUAUUAGUUCCUAAUAAGGCUUUCGAGUACUUGGUCUUCUUUUGUAGGAUUUCUCUUCACUCUGUAAAGAGUUUCGCUUGGACGCCACCGUAGAGCAUGAUCUCAGUUGAGUGCUUCAGUACUGUGUAAGGAGACCUGACCUGGAAGUAAUUCACACAACAGCAAAGAAUCAAAACCCUGGGCUACAGGGCAUCCAAAGAGCAAGGAGAACGUUCCCUGCUUCCUGGGGACUGGACCCAAGUGAUAUGUGGGUGAGGUAUCCAUGCAUAGUACAAAAUACAGUGAUUCCUGGAGGGGACCCGUGUCUCAAAGAGUUCCCAAGGGAAGGUCAUUGCUGAGCCACUUGUAAGGUAUUUCUAAAGGAGAAGCCUGCGGUUGGCUCUCAAGGUGUCCACACUUGUGUUCAGGAUAACUAAAUAUGGACACUGUCGAUGCUGUGGAAUGCUCUUCUGUUUGAAAAUCAUGUAGAUUGGAACUCAGAUAACGUACUUCUUUAGAAGCACAGUUGAAAAGCACCAAGACAUGCUGCUUCUGAGGAGGAUCCUAGAAAAUUGUAGGAUAGUGUCUAUACCUUUUAAAAAGUCAGCAUUUGAGGCCGGAGAGAUGGCUCAGUGGUCAAGAGCACUGACUGCUCUUCCAGAGGUCCUGAGUUCAAAUCCCAGCCACCACAUGGUGGCUCGCAACCAUCUGUAAUGGGAUCUGAUGUGUCUGAAGAAAGCUACAGUGUAAUCGUAUACAUAAAAUAAA
Molecule: long non-coding RNA, 3617 nt
Organism: Rattus norvegicus (Norway rat)
Lineage: Eukaryota; Metazoa; Chordata; Mammalia; Rodentia; Muridae
Source: RefSeq, a predicted model, not a curated record